GCCUCGGACAGAUGAUGAAAAGGGAAUCAGGUGUAAAUCCUGAACAGACGCGCUGCUGUAAGCUCUAUGCCAAAUGUUUGUACAAGUCUGGCCACCAUUUAAUUUUGGGAAGGUGUGCAAACAGGAGUAAGUCAGAAGACCUGCCAAUUUAUUAU
This 155-nucleotide non-coding RNA is filed under the name uncultured Dysgonomonas sp. Lineage: Bacteria; Pseudomonadati; Bacteroidota; Bacteroidia; Bacteroidales; Dysgonomonadaceae. The record is from RNAcentral.